Zalophus californianus (California sea lion) is the source of this 2379-nucleotide RNA transcript. RefSeq lists it as uncharacterized. Lineage: Eukaryota; Metazoa; Chordata; Mammalia; Carnivora; Otariidae. The record is from RefSeq and is a predicted model, not a curated record. The transcript has 9 exons.
AACAGGGGGAAAAUCUGGAUAAUACAUUAAAGUAACCGUAAUUUUGGAGAUGCAUUCGUCUUACUGAAAUUGUGUACGUAACCAGUGAUACCGAAGUCGGAUAUUUGCUCAAUCAGGAUGCUCAACAAUUUGAGCCUUUACUUUAAAGUUUGGAGCUGCAUGGGUUUGUGGAGAAAGUCGGCUUGGGAUACUUCCUCGUGGCAGUAAUUCUUCUCCACCCCCUUUGAAUUCAGAAAGAUGGCAUAGAAAUCUCAGAAACACCACUACCUCCUUCGUUAGACCACAAGGUAUGUCCUUUUGGAAAAGUCAACUUCAUUGAUCUGCAAGGACUGUUGAAAAUUUAAAAAUUUGCUAUGGGAUUUCUGACAUGCCAGAAGCCACUAGAAAAAGAAUUUUGAUGUUCAGAACCUCAUGAAGAGGUUCCCCUCAUCUUUGGAUAGAGACCAAAAUGAUGCUUUCAAGUAAAUGAUGACAUCAGCAGGAACACAGAACUUGUUGGUUACAAGGUGGAACACUUGUGUGCCAUGAAGCCAAAAGUCAGCUGGCCCUCUCCUCAGGUGUAGAGCACCUAUUAUCAUUUCACCUGUUUUGAUUCUCUGAUGAGGAAAAUCCCAGGACUUAUCAGCCGGGAUAGGCCUCAUUUCCAAGACAGCUCUGUUCAGUGUUUGGAAGAAAGCCUGACAGGUUUCUCCGGAAAAGUGGCCAUCCAUGGAAUGAAUGAAAUGUUCCCUUUCUGUUCCAGGGAUUGCAGUGGCAAAGCUAGGCUAGGUCUUGGAGGCUGGUGCAAGGCGAAGCGGGUGAAGGCAGGAGGCUGAUGGAGAGACUGGGGGGAAGAAAAGCCGAAAUGGAUUCACAGUGCCUUGGAUGGAGGACGAGAGGGGAAUUGCAAGCUCCUUCAACUCGUUCUGUCCGGUGAGAAGUGAUCAAGCUUGGGCUGACAAGAGGCUCAGGAAGCCCUCACGUUCUUUCGCUUUUUUACCUGCCAAUCAAACUGCUACAAGACAACACCCUGAUCUGGCAUGGACAUCGCGGGUCCAAGCCUGUAGUCCCAAAUCGGAUAUCUCUGCAGCUGAUAACGAGCAAAAGAGAAGCCAGGCAACAGCCAUAUUAAAGAAGAAAACAAUCAACUCUGAGGAUGCCACCCUGAAAGUUUUAUUUUCUCCAGGAAAGUAGAGUUCUCUUUGAGAGUUCUAGCCUGUGAACUCAGUAUGUAAAUGUGGUCAUCAAGCAAGAUGGAGCUGCCAAGAGGGAAGAUUUUGAACGUUUCUCUUUCCUAAAACCCUUCCCAGCAUUCCUUCUUCUGGGGGUGCUUUACUUGAAGGUUCCCCCUUUCCCCAACGCUGUUAAAAAUAGCUCCCAAGCAACACUGCAGUAGCUAAACCAAUUGUACUGUGAAGUUGUUGAGCUGGCAUUUCAUCUGAAUCCUUUGUAAAAAUUAGAUUUUAAGUAGGGGUGAGUGUCAUUUUGGGAGAGGGGACAAGGGUGAGGGGAAGAAGAGGGGGAGGGGAUGAGCAAUUUAUACACAUAUAUACUCUUUGUGUUUGAAGGCCUCUGUGUCUUGGCUUCUCACUAUGUUAAAUCCCUAUUAUAAAACUUAUCUUCACAAAGCCUAUUAUAGUAUUCUGAGAACAAAUUGGACCAUGAAUAACUUAGUUGGAAGUGUAGAUUAUUUUCUACUCAGGAAAAGUUAGAGAUGACAACAGCUUAACUAAAAGAAUAGUGAUUAAUCUUAAAUAGAUGGAUUUCAAAGUUUCACUCUUGAUAAAGAGUACCUUUGAUAGUUCCCCUCUUCAGACUCAUGUUUCCACUUUCUUUGUAUUAAGAAUUGUCCUAGUGAUUACACUGUCCACCUAAUACAGCAUGACUCUGACUGUAGACCUUUUUCUUACAGGUUGCUAAUCUGUCAGAGAGGUGAGCAGAAAGACACUUGACUUCCUAUUGAUUAAAUAUAUGGUUCCAAAGUGGGACCUGUGCAUAGAGAUCAGACUCUCUGUUAGAAAUACUAUCUGGCAUAAAUCAAAAUUUCUCAAUUAGAUAAAAUUAUUAUUUAAAAACACCUUAAAUUUGUUUAAUGCCCUACAGCUUACAGAACACUUCUCAAAUCAUAAUUUUGUUUGAUCCUUAAAAGACUGUUAUGAUAUAAACACAUAACACUAAUCUCAUUUUACCAAGGAGGAAGCUGAGUCACUUGUACACUGCGAGCCAGCUGAUAAAUGGAAGAACUGGAAUACCCACUCAGAUUUUACAGCUUCUGUUUUAAGUGAUUAACCUGUAGCAAUAGGCAUUUAAAUUCCUUUUGUGUUCUACAUCCCUGAAAAUCAAGAUUUUGUAUGAAGGAGCAAAGUUUUUAUAUUUCACAGAUACAGAAGUUAAAGGACC